Kogia breviceps (pygmy sperm whale) is the source of this 1094-nucleotide non-coding RNA. The record is from RefSeq and is a predicted model, not a curated record. NCBI's taxonomy places the organism in Eukaryota, Metazoa, Chordata, Mammalia, Artiodactyla, Physeteridae.
CGUGUGGUUGGGGUUGCGAGGUUUUCUGGCUUCUGGUCUCUCCCGGGAAGUUGGGCUGUGUUUAGCUCCUGAAUUUUGCAGAGCUGGCAUUCCACACGAAGAGGUCACUCAACUCCUGAGGCGAAGCACAAAACGCCGGGGGCGGGAGUAGGAGGGAAGGGGAGGGAGCUUGUGGGAAAAAAGUUUCGGGCUGUUUUCAUAUCUGUGGAAAAAGUUUUUGGUGUGACUACGUUUUUGUGGGACAUCCAGACCGAGGAGAACGGGCGCCCUGGCGUUUUUCUGGACCCGGAGGUCCCGCAGCUAACACCAUGGGAAUCUGAUAGCAGUUCCGCCGACUGACGCCCCAGACUGUGAGGGCGCCUGCCAGGGGGAAACGCGCGUCCCGACCUCCGCGCCGGGAUGGGGCCGAUGUCGGGUUGAAGGCCGCCUCCAGAUCCUCGCAUUGUCCCUGCGAGGAACGCGCUGGCUUGCGGGGCGCCCACUGCCGCUUCUUGAGGUGGAGCUGCUGACAAGUGGACUUAACGGGGCUGCUUUUCGCUUCCACCCCCUGCCUCUCCUCUUUCUCCUCGAGGGAACUGGGAGCCGGUCUAAUAGCAUUUAAAAGGGACGUGUAGCCCCUCCGAGUCUCCGUCAGCCUGGGGCUCCCGGAGCCCGAAGGCGCGCGCCCGGCCGAGAGCGCAGGGAAAGCGCAGCCCCGGCGUUGUCGUUGGCGCGCGCGUGUCUGUGUACGUGUCUGUGUGCGCGCGCGUGUGUAUGUGUCCGUGUGGGUGCGUGCGUGUGGAGGGCGGGGUGGAAGGUUGGGAGUGGCUAGUACGAAAGCUGCGCCUUUGCUAAUUGCAGCGCGUCAUUAUUUAUCAGUACGGUCUUUGGGAGGUGAUUAGGCCAUGAGGGUGGAGCCCUCAGGAAUGGGAUUAGUGCCCUCAGAAAAGAGGCUGUAGAGAGCAACCUCACUCCUCCUGUCAUCCAUGGGAGAAGAUGCCCAUCUAUCAACCAGAAAGUGGACACUCACCAGCCAUGAACCUGUCAGCACCUUGAUCUUGAACUUCCCACCCUCCAGAACUGUUAAGAAAUAAAUUCCUUUUGUUUAUAAGCCA